AACGAACGCUGGCGGCAUGCCUAACACAUGCAAGUCGAACGAGACCUUCGGGUCUAGUGGCGCACGGGUGCGUAACGCGUGGGUACCUGCCCUUAGGUUCGGAAUAACUCCCCGAAAGGGGUGCUAAUACCGGAUAAUGUCUUCGGACCAAAGAUUUAUCGCCUUUGGAUGGGCCCGCGUUGGAUUAGCUAGUUGGUAGGGUAAAAGCCUACCAAGGCGACGAUCCAUAGCUGGUCUGAGAGGAUGAUCAGCCACACUGGGACUGAGACACGGCCCAGACUCCUACGGGAGGCAGCAGUGGGGAAUAUUGGACAAUGGGCGAAAGCCUGAUCCAGCAAUGCCGCGUGAGUGAUGAAGGCCUUAGGGUUGUAAAGCUCUUUUACCCGGGAUGAUAAUGACAGUACCGGGAGAAUAAGCUCCGGCUAACUCCGUG
RNAcentral lists this ribosomal RNA (433 nucleotides) under uncultured bacterium. Its description in RNAcentral is "partial 16S ribosomal RNA". It matches the Rfam family "Bacterial small subunit ribosomal RNA", at positions 29 to 507 of the family's 1533-position model. The record is from RNAcentral.